GACGAACGCUGGCGGCGUGCUUAACACAUGCAAGUCGAACGGAAAGGCCCUGCUUUUGUGGGGUGCUCGAGUGGCGAACGGGUGAGUAACACGUGAGUAACCUGCCCUUAACUUUGGGAUAACUUCAGGAAACUGGGGCUAAUACCGGAUAGGAGCUCCUGCUGCAUGGCGGGGGUUGGAAAGUUUCGGCGGUUGGGGAUGGACUCGCGGCUUAUCAGCUUGUUGGUGGGGUAGUGGCUUACCAAGGCUUUGACGGGUAGCCGGCCUGAGAGGGUGACCGGCCACAUUGGGACUGAGAUACGGCCCAGACUCCUACGGGAGGCAGCAGUGGGGAAUAUUGCACAAUGGGCGGAAGCCUGAUGCAGCAACGCCGCGUGCGGGAUGACGGCCUUCGGGUUGUAAACCGCUUUCGCCUGUGACGAAGCGUGAGUGACGGUAAUGGGUAAAGAAGCACCGGCUAACUACGUG
This 468-nucleotide ribosomal RNA is filed under the name uncultured bacterium. RNAcentral's name for it is "partial 16S ribosomal RNA". It matches the Rfam family "Bacterial small subunit ribosomal RNA", at positions 28 to 507 of the family's 1533-position model. The record is from RNAcentral.